ACCUGAAGCAGCAGCAGCAGCAGCAGCAGCACCUGACCGACAAAUGGACAAGUUAUACAAAGAAAGCUCGGUGAAUCAUUAGCUGUUUUAUUACCAGGAAAGACAGCAUCACUAUACACUGACGUAUUAGUAGGACAUGGUUUUAAACUCUUGAGUCAUAAUUCUAGAAACCCAUGGCAUCUGAUUGCGACAGAAAUGCGAUUUCUCUUGUCCUUAAAAAUAAGUAAGAAAUUGAUGCCUGCUCUAGGUUCCUCCCUUGUGGAUACUCAAGGAACCAGGUUCCUAUUGGCCUGGAUCACUGGCUCUCUCUUUGGGGUGCAAGGGCCCCUUAUCACGGCACUCCUACAUGCCACCAAUUAAACACUUUCUCUCUGCAUAAACAGCUCGUGUGAUUUUCUUCUGUCUUCCUAGCUGGAUGCGACUUUUUGCUCCACUCGCCUGGGACUAGCGCCCCCCCCUCGCCCCCCGUGUCUCCCUCCAUGCUGACUGACUGCUGUAUUCUUUCUUAUCUCAGUGUAGCAGACCUCUCUGGAGUGCCCCACACAAAUUACAAGAGGCUCUGGCUUCCCACGGCGCUCCUUCAUUUCUUCCUGAGAGAUGCUGAGGGACACUUAGAGCAGUCCCUGACAACAUUGUUGUGUAUUAACUGUGUGGUUUUGGAUCCUCUAAUUCCACAGCCCCUGAAACAUUAGCACAGAUCUUUUUGCAAGAAACUGCCUUAAUGGAAAGCCCAUUAUGUAAAGAAAGCUGGAGCCCAAGGAAUUUACAAUACACAAUAAAAGACACGGAGAAUGCGGGCAGGAGGGGGCGCUCUCUUAGCAAAGUGAACUGGCUUCACAUGGCGCCCAAGUCACUGCUCACUCCUCUGCCACAGUUCGUGCCCACUGCUGCUGUAGAACUGGGUGCAGGCUCUGGCUUUCACGCCAUACACAGACCUGUGUGCUUCCAUCUUUUGCAAUUUUGGGUACUAUGCUUACUUUGUAGUAUUGCUUAGAAAUGACACCAUGGGACCGUGAGCAGAAAACCACCAAGUGUGCCUUCAGCGUUGGUCACAUACAUCUUCUGGAAUUUAGUUUUGAAACUUUAAUUAUGUGUAAACACAUGUGUUAGGAAGGGGGAUAGGCACAUGUAAGUGCCCCCCAAAGUCAAGAGGAGGGCAGCAGACUCCCUCCAGCUGGAAUUACAAGUGGUGGGGAGCGGCCCAACGUGGGUGCUGAAAGCUGAACUUGCAAUUCCUCUGUUAGAACAGUACACAUUCUCAACCACCAAGCCAUAUCUCCAGCCGCAUCUUCUGGAAUCCAAUGCUGUGCCUUGAAAGACUGAGGGGCCUCCGUGUGUACUCAGGUUGGUGUGAAUGUGUAUGUGUGUGCUCAAUGUUGGUGUGAAUGUGUAUGUGUGUGCUCAAUGUUGGUGUGAAUGUGUAUGUGUGUGCUCAAUGUUGGUGUGAAUGUGUAUGUGUGUGCUCAAUGUUGGUGUGAAUGUGUAUGUGUGUGCUCAGGUUGGUGUGAAUGCGUACACGUUGGUCCCUGCUGAAUCUUGCAUUUACACACUAACAAACUUCCUUUAGGGAAUUCUGAGCCAUUCAGUUGGGGCAGAGAUGUGGCAGUUCUCACAAAAACAUCAGUACAGGUGUGCCUGUGUGUUUGGGUGUUGAUGUGUGUCCAUAUGAGUGUGCAGGUGUGUGUGCAUGUCUGUGCACACACGUUUCUGUGUGCCUCUGUCAGAGUGUGGAGUCUGUGUAUGAAUUUGUGUGUUCGUUAGAGUCUGAGCAUGCGUGCUGGCAACGAGGGAACGUGUCCCUGUGAAUGAACGCGGGCAGAGGGCCAGAGCCACAUCCUAUGGAAUUCGGCUGGAAGUUCCUGCUAUUACGCUGUUAUAGAGGUUUUCUUCACAAGGUCAAAUCCAAUGGCUCCCAAGGGGCACCAGCGAAGUGGGCCAAAGUUCAGCCUUCUUCGGACUUCUGCACCUUGCCUGGUGCUGUGCCUCCCUGAAGUCAAGGCUGCACUGCCAUGCUGUGCGGUGGCCCUGCUCAGAGCUGUAUGCACUGCAGUGGCCCUGCUCAGAGCUGUAUGCUGUGCAGUGGCCCUGCUCAGAGCUGUAUGCUGUGCAGUGGCCCUGCUCAGAGCUGUAGGCACUGCAGUGGCCCUGCUCAGAGCUGUAGGCACUGCAGUGGCCCUGCUCAGAGCUGUAGGCACUGCAGUAGCCCUGCUCAGAGCUAUAUCCUGUGCAGUAGCCCUGCUCAGAGCUCCAAGGAGCUGAGUGAGUCCAAGCUGGUCUUUCUCUAACAACCGAUUCUAACCCAAAGGAUGCCUUAUUUAGACUGGUCCCUGUUUUCUCUCUACUGAACUCUGUCCUGCUUGGGAGACUCCCUGGAGAACUCACCCAUGUUUGCAUAUCAACAUUUGUUUCCUGUAAGGACUUUAAAUGACGAGCCAUUAGGUUGGGACAGGCCUGUGGGAACAGAUGCCUGUGACACUUGUAUAGAGACAGAACUCAAUGGAUGGAAUUUUGUCCCAUAUUUCUCUGUCUCUGUGAAGAACAGAGAAGCAGAAUUCAAGCUUAGAGCUAAGAGGAAGAGUUUUUAAAGUCUUUAAAAUAUUAAAAAUAAAACUUUCAGAACCUAAGUCAAUGGGCCAUGGCCCAAGCUCAGACUCUUCUCUGCUGUCUUUCUCAUGAAGGGCACACAACGGCUCUCACUCCUUAAAAACCCAACACUGGGGGGCUGGAGAGAUGGCUCAGCAGUUAAGAGCAUUGCCUGUUCUUCCAAAGGUCCUGAGUUCAAUUCCCAGCAACCACAUGGUGGCUCACAACCAUCUGUAACAAGGUCUGGCGCCCUCUUCUGGCCUGCAGGCAUACACAGACAGAACAUUGUAUACAUAAUAAAUAAAAAAAAAAACAACUCUGCCCACCCACCCUGAAGAGC
Long non-coding RNA from Alexandromys fortis (reed vole), 2923 nucleotides. RefSeq lists it as uncharacterized. The record is from RefSeq and is a predicted model, not a curated record. The transcript is spliced from 2 exons. Lineage: Eukaryota; Metazoa; Chordata; Mammalia; Rodentia; Cricetidae.